Molecule: long non-coding RNA, 3700 nt
Filed under: Homo sapiens (human)
Lineage: Eukaryota; Metazoa; Chordata; Mammalia; Primates; Hominidae
Description: novel transcript, antisense to CDH13
Source: RNAcentral
GAGUCCCACUCAGUUCACUUUAACUUCAUUAUUUCAUCUCACUCUUUCUCCUUCCCUCUUUCUCGCUUUCUAUUUGUUCACUCAAUGACUUUUUAUUGAACGGCCACCAGAUCAAUAGCACAGUGCGGCAUGUCAGGGAUAUGAUACACGGGGAAUCUAAGAGCUGAUCUCUGUCUUAUAGGAACUCAGCCAGAAUAGGGAAGAGUAGUAGAACAGGGGAUCAGCAAUUAUUUUAAACAUUUCAAUAAUAUUUGUUUUAAAGUGAAUGGUAAAAAUAUAGCUGGCAUAUCACAGAUAUUAUUGCUAAGUUAAAAGAAAGACAAGUCAAAUUAAAGUCAACUUAAAAGCAUUCAGUGAAUGACAGUACACAGAGAGCAGAUAGGUUACAGGAGAUGAAGGUGCCUGGUGUUUGGAAAUGUUUGGAUAAAGCAAAAUGGAAAUGGCUAAGACAAAGAAGGAGGUAAUAAUGGCCUAAGAAAGUUAUAAAAUAGAAUGGAGGAAUUCAAGGAGAAAGAGAUUACUUCCUACUCACCGAAAGUGUUACGGACCAUGCAGUAUUUGAAACUGACCUAGAAAGACCAACAGGAUUGUGAUGGGUGGAGGCAGGAAGGGAAAUAUUUUAGGAAGAGUGACUGACAGUCAAGUUCUGGAGCGUGAACAUGCAUGGCAUAUUGGGAAGCGGGAACAGUACACCCAUAUUCUGCUUUCCAUCUUGUAUCCUUCUUAGUCCUGCAAAUGUCCAGAGUAGAUGUGCUGUUUAUCCAUUUCUCCUUCUUUGUGGGGACACCUGCAUUUUCCCAUGAGUUUACCCCAUUCUUCAUGUAGCCUUGCUGAGACUUUCCAUUAUGGUGCCUCUCUCUCCUAUAGUGAAGGGAUGAAGUGAGUCCGACUCAAGACAGGCCACCCAGGACUUAAUAUGCUGGGAGCGUACAAUGUUUUCAGAGAGACAUAAGGAUGGAAAAUACUUGGAGCUGAUUUGUCCUGAUCGUGAGAGCCUAAAAAUAUCAUCCAUUCAUCCCAGGAACCUAGAUCGCUGAAGCAGCUUUUUCCGGCAUUCCUGAAGCUUGCUUCAUCCUAUUUUUCUUUGCUUCUCUAUGUCUUGUGUGUGUGUGCACACACAUGCCUGCAUAUGUGUUUUCUUCUCUUCAUAAGGUUUGGUUUCCAUGGCUUGCAACCAAAGAAAUGAUUGUAUAGCCUGACAUAAUCAGUCAGCAAUCACAGUCAUUUUACAAAUAACACAGCAGUAAAGGGUUCACUGAUUUCCCCAUGCCACAGAGCUAAUGAGCAAUGAAGCUGGAAUCUGAACUCAGGUACCUCUGAUUCCCAAUCUGUUCUCUCUUCAUGCAGACUUUGGCUCUAUAGCAUUUUCCAAAAAUGGCCAUGCUAAUAUUUCUGACGCUCCUCUCGUUCACAGGUGGAGUCUAGUUCCUGUCCCCUAGAGUGUGGGUUAGCGUUUAUGACGGCCUUCAUGAAUGAGUGCAAUAGAAGUGACACUGUAUGAUUUCUGAGGCUGGAUCAUAAAAGGCGAAAGAGAAACCACUGCAAGCUGGCUUUUGGGAUGCUCACCUUUGGAACCUGGCCGCCAUGUUGUGAGAGAGCCCAGGCCUCGUGGAGAGGCCACAAGUAGAUGUUCUGGCUGACAGCAAUCAACAAUUGCCAGAUAAACAACUGAAUAAGCAUUCAGAUGACAUCAGCUCCCAGGCCUUGGGGAUUCCAGCUAAGGCCUCAGACAUUGAGGCACAGAGAUAGGCUGCUCCCAGUGUGCCCUGCUCACAUUCCUGAGCCAUUAAAACCACAGAGACACGAAAACGAUGUUGUUUCCAGUCACUAAGUUUGUGUGUGAUUUGUUAUGCAUGAAUGGGGGCUGAAAGAGGCAACCAGCCCUAGGGCAGACUUAUCUACUCUCCCACCUAAACAAAUCCUUUGUUUUAUAAAAUUUAAGUUAGGAUGGGAGACAUAGAGAUUGUUGGUGCUUGAAGGAACCCUGGGGAUCACUUGACCCAACAUUCCCUCCUCUUCUCCUGAGAGUCAGAUGUAGAAUGAAUGGUGAAUGCUUGACAGUAAGGUCAGCUUUAGGGUUGUUUGAAGGAUGAAAUGAUAAAAUGCACAGAAAAAUGCCUGGCACUUAGUAGUUGCUCAAUAAAGCUUAAUUCUCUCUUCCUGCUAAUAUCAUUCUUUUUCUUUUCUUUUGAGACGGAGUCUCCCUCUGGCCCCCACGCUGGAGUGCAGUGGCGUGAUCUCGGCUCACUGCAAGCUCCGCCUCCCGGGUUCACGCCAUUCUCCUGCCUCAGCCUCCCGAGUAGCUGGGACUACAGGCGCCCACCAUCAUGCCCGGCUAAUUUUUUGUAUUUUUAGUAGAGACAGGAUUUCACCGUGUUAGCCAGGAUGGUCUCCAUCUCCUGACCUCGUGAUCUGCCCGCCUCAGCCUCCCAAAGUGCUAGGAUUACAGGCGUGAGCCACCGGGCCCGGGCUUCUUUUUCUUUUUUUAAAAAAGUCAAAAUUCUCAAAAAGCUUGGUUGUCUACUUUGUUUUCCAGGUGGAUUUCUGGAGUCAGGUUUAGUGAUUAGAGCAUGACAUUUUGUAUGAAAGCAUAAAAGACAGAAAAAACUCAAAAUCAGGUAAAGCAUUGUCUUGGUUCACUUAUUAACCUAUAAGAAUGAUUACCUCAAAUGACCUUAAAUUCCUUUCCCAUACUCUAUUUAAGAAUCGGGGAAACCUAUGUUUUAGAAAUGAAGUCAAUAUAUAGAAAGAUAUAGCACUUGAAGUGGUGAGCUUCAGUUUCACAGAAAACUCAUCUAAGUGAGAUAACUUAUUCUUGGAUGUUGCCAGAAAAAUCUACAAGUUUCUAAAUGAUUGGAAACAAAAGUUUUUAAAUGAUUGUUGGAGUUCAACUCCAGGGAGCACUGGCCUCUGCCCUGUGUUGGAGGACAGCUUUGAUGCUGCAUAACAAACAGUGUGAUUUCACUCAUGCUGAAACUAUUUUCCUGAAAUUGGAGCCUUAUUAUUAAGUUACUGGGAAAAAAUUCCAAUUGAACUUUGGAAAUUUUUUUUCUAUUGUAGUACCAUUAUAGAGUUCAGUUUGGUGAAAAAUGAGCACUGAAGGCUUUCAACAAUUUUCUAUCAGAGCUUAAAUUCAAUUCUAAGGAUAGUGACCAUGUAAUUGGCAAGGAAGGAGUACUUAAUUCUUAGAAUUGCACUGAUGGGGAGACACAGCUUUCCCUGGCAUUGGAGCCUGUGGCAGCGGGGCUGUGGGCAGACUAUAUCUCACAAUGGCUUCCUGGUGGGAUAUGGGAGUGGUGCCUGCUCUGAGAUACAGAUUUGGUUAAAUCCACUCACUGGGUACACUGCAAACAUUUCCCUAAACACCCUAAACUUUCUUUUCUAGGACCUGACCCGAGUCUAAGCUUGUAAGGGGCUUGGUGCAUGGGAGUUGGAGAACCAUCUCGGUGUUCAUAUUCUGGCAUCGAAAUGAGAACAUGAGUGCAUUUUAUUGUAUCUUUGAGGCAACCCUGGAGGCUACACCUUGAAGAGGCAGCCUCAUGAAAUGGAAGGUGCCAAGGAUCUCUGAACGUUAUGGAGCAGAGCCAUCCCACCCCACCAUCUGCAGUUCGACUGUAAUAGGAAAUAGGCUCAAUUUGGAUCAAGGCUUCGGAAGAAGGGUUGGCUGACGGCAAUGGCUCUUCAAUGUAACUUUCAUGGA